GGAAAACAUUUUCCAAAACACGGGUAAAUCAUUUCAGCCUUUCUGAAAAGCGUCUUACCGAUUUCUAAGGUGUAAGACAUUUUCUACAGCUCAUCUCUUUACUCUCAUCGCACACUGCUCAUCUCUGUCCAUAAGCCUCCACCUCCCCUCCUAAUCUCUGUUCAUUGGCAUCACCUCAUAAUCUCCUCCUCGUCUUCUCUGUCGGUCGACCGUGUAUUUUGAAGAAAACCUAAAAAAUUAACAGCCACAGUCGAGAAAAGAAGAGCCAGAAAGUUUCUCUUUUUUUCUCAUUAUCGAUUCCUUCAAAAUCCUGGUGAAGUUUAUCUCAACUCGUCAGAUACUGCAAGUGUAAAAGUCCCAGAACUUGAUUUGGAGCUAGCUAGUGGCACACUCGGUGGGGUUGUUACAACUGUUGAAGGUUUGAUUACCAAAAUUAGUGAAAGUAAAUAUUAUCUUGCUGAUGCUGGAUAUGGCGUCUGAAAUUGAUAUAUUACCUCAUAUCGUGGUGUCCGAUAUCAUUUAAAAGAGUUUAGUGCUCAAGGGCCUGAAAAUGCAAAUGAACUCUUUAAUCUUCGUCAUUCAUCAUUACGAAUCACUAUUGAACGUGUUUUUGGAAUUUUGAAGAAACGGUUUCGUGUAUUAAAUGCUGAACCAUUUUGGAAUUUUCAAACUCAAGUAGAUAUAGUUUUGGCUUGUUGUAUCAUUCAUAAUCAUAUAAUGGGAGUUGAUCCUAGUGAUUUACUUACUCAAGGAUUAUACGAGGAGCCUGAGUCUGAUUUGAUAAUACCAACUCUUACGGAGCGAGAAGAAAGAGAAGAAGCAAGAGAAUGGUCUGCUAAGAGAUACGAAAUUGCACAAACUAUGUGGACUGAUUAUAUGGCUAGAAAUAUUAGAAUGGGUAAGGGAAACAAAGAAGGGACCUCCAAGCAAUCCAGGUGGACAAAACCGAUGGAACAUGUUUUUCUUGAAAUUCUAGCAGAGGAGGCCCAGAAAGGAAAUAAGCCUUCUAAUACUUUCAAAGCAGUUUCUAUUAAUCGAGUUGUCGAAGCUAUUUCUGAAAGAUUCUAAGUCUAAUGCGAUGCGAAGCAUGUGGAAAAUCAUUUGAGGAUUGUAAAAAACCAGUGGCAGAUUGUAUGCAAAAUUCGAGGUGAAAGUGGUUUUGGAUGGGAUGAUAACAUGAAAAUGAUCACAUGUGAUAGAGCGACAUAUGAUGCAGCAAUGAUGGCACACAAGAAGUAUGAACCAUUUUUUAAUAAAAGUAUAGAUCAUUAUGAUGAAAUGGCUUUGGUUGUUGGCAAAGAUUUGGCAACAGGGAGUUUUGCCAGAACAUUUGCUGACAUAGAUUUGGAUGAUGGUAACCAAGAUUCAAUGCAUGCAGACUACGGCAAUGAAGAGGCUGAUAGGUAAGAACAAAUGUAUCUUCAUCUAGCACAUCCAAACGUAAAAGAAAAAAUGUUCAAGAAAGCGUCGUUGAUGAACAAAUUAAAUCUGUGGGUGAACAACUUGGCAAAAUUGUUAAUGCUUUGGAACAAUUUACUGCGGAUAAGACACCACAACUUUACGAACAAGUGAUGUCGAUGGAGGAAGAAGGAUUUGAUGAUGACUUCUUGUGUUCUGUGUUUGAUUAUCUAGUGAGUCAUGAAUCAGAGGCCGAAGGUUUUUUAGUUAAAAGUAAGAAGCAUAAAAAAAUUUGACUUCAAAAAUUUUCUCAAGGUUGAAGAUAUUGAUAUUUUUAUGUGGUGUAAUAUUAGUUAUGCACUUGAACAAUGUUGUUAUUAUGUGGUGUACUACUAAUUAUGUAUUUGAUAAUAUUAUUAAUUUCUAGUAUUAAUUGUGGUUUGGAAGCUAAUUUAUAAUUAUUCAA
Molecule: long non-coding RNA, 1864 nt
Organism: Gossypium raimondii (Peruvian cotton)
Lineage: Eukaryota; Viridiplantae; Streptophyta; Magnoliopsida; Malvales; Malvaceae
Exons: 5
Source: RefSeq, a predicted model, not a curated record